UACGUAGGGUGCGAGCGUUAAUCGGAAUUACUGGGCGUAAAGCGUGCGCAGGCGGUUCGUUAAGUCAGAUGUGAAAGCCCCGGGCUCAACCUGGGAACUGCAUUUGAAACUGGCGGGCUUGAGUAUGGCAGAGGGGGGUGGAAUUCCGCGUGUAGCAGUGAAAUGCGUAGAGAUCCGGAGGAACCCCAGAGGCGAAGGCGGCGCCCUGGCUCGCAACUGACGCUCAGACACGACAGCAUGGGGAGCGAACGGG
RNAcentral lists this ribosomal RNA (253 nucleotides) under uncultured bacterium. RNAcentral's name for it is "partial 16S ribosomal RNA". It matches the Rfam family "Bacterial small subunit ribosomal RNA", at positions 524 to 776 of the family's 1533-position model. The record is from RNAcentral.